AGAGCGCGUCGCGUGACAGCAGCGUGAAGGCAGUCAUUACUAACAACUAUGUACGAGGGGCAAGGGGAACAUAUCGCUGCAGUAAUCAAGUAAAUUAGGACGGAUGCAAAUUGGAGCCCCGAUAUACCUGCUCGAAACACGUCUCAGCGGAAAGUUCUCAGUCGGAGGCUCCGUCAAGCCGGUGGGCCGCUCGAGGAAGUUGUAGACCUGACCCUGAAACGUGGCUUUCCCGGCUCUCCGAUGUUCCUUGAUCUGGUAUCGUCCUUCCCAC
RNAcentral lists this long non-coding RNA (271 nucleotides) under Neodiprion lecontei (redheaded pine sawfly). RNAcentral's name for it is "uncharacterized LOC124295093". Lineage: Eukaryota; Metazoa; Arthropoda; Insecta; Hymenoptera; Diprionidae. The record is from RNAcentral.